CCUACGGGUGGCAGCAGUAGGGAAUAUUGCUCAAUGGGGGAAACCCUGAAGCAGCAACGCCGCGUGGAGGAUGAAGGUUUUCGGAUUGUAAACUCCUUUUGUUAGAGAAGAUAAUGACGGUAUUUAACGAAUAAGCACCGGCUAACUCCGUGCCAGCAGCGGCGGUAAUACGGAGGGUGCAAGCGUUACUCGGAAUCACUGGGCGUAAAGAGCGCGUAGGCGGGAUAGCAAGUCAGAUGUGAAAUCCUAUGGCUUAACCAUAGAACAGCAUUUGAAACUGUCAUUCUGGAGUAUGGGAGAGGUAGGUGGAAUGCUUGGUGUAGGGGUAAAAUCCGUAGAGAUCGAGAGGAAUACUGAUUGCGAAGGCGACCUGCUAGAACAUAACUGACGCUGAUGCGCGAAAGCGUGGGGAGCGAACAGGAUUAGAUACCCCAGUAGUC
RNAcentral lists this ribosomal RNA (440 nucleotides) under uncultured bacterium. RNAcentral describes it as "partial 16S ribosomal RNA". It matches the Rfam family "Bacterial small subunit ribosomal RNA", at positions 338 to 795 of the family's 1533-position model. The record is from RNAcentral.